Molecule: ribosomal RNA, 1395 nt
Filed under: Triticum aestivum (bread wheat)
Lineage: Eukaryota; Viridiplantae; Streptophyta; Magnoliopsida; Poales; Poaceae
Description: partial small subunit ribosomal RNA
Source: RNAcentral
AUGCCUGCCUUGAAGCUUAGCUAUGACUUUCUUCCUUUCCAUCUGCAACAAUGUUUUGCCUAUUCUGGAUUGUUUCCUGAAGAUUACAAUUUCAGAAGUGACGAGCUGAUCAGUCUAUGGAUUGGACUAGAUAUUUUGAAACCCAAUGGGCAAGACCAAAUAUUUGAAGACAUAGGUCUGAGCAAUUUAAAUGAGUUAGUCAUCCAUGGAUUUUUCAGAGAAGAGAAAACUUAUUAUGGUAUGCGUUAUGUUAUGCAUGACCUGCUGCAUGAUUUGGCAUUGAAGGUUGCAUCUCAUGAUUGUCUUAGUCUAAGUCUCCCUAGUGUUGGAUCAGUAGAGAUUCAGCCAACCACCCGUCACUUGUCUAUAAGCACAUAUGGUUUAGGUAAAUAUGAUGAAGUGUCUGGUAAAAAAUUGAAGAGUGAAUUGGAAGAACUAAAGACAAGAUUUAAGGUUGAAGAAUUGCAAGCAUUGAUGUUAUUUGGAAAAAUGGAUGAAGGUUUUUUCAAGAUAUUUGGUGAUUUUUUGGGGGAAGUGAACACUCUUCGUGUUCUUCAUUUGCCCAAAAUGCUUUGUCCCGUGGAGUUCAUGUUACAUAACUUUUCGGGACUUCUCCACCUACGAUACCUAUGUCUAGGGACACAUGACAUCCAGAUUCAUUUACCACUUAGCAUCUCUAAAAUUUAUCAUUUAAGGAUUCUAGAUCUUAAAUGGUGGAAUGGCAGUCGUGAUUUGCCUGAUGACAUGAGCAACCUUGCCAAAUUGUGCCAUUCUUAUGUCCCAAAUGAUGAUAAGCUUCAUUCUGAUAUUUAUAAUGUGGGAAAGCUUAAACUCUUAGAAGAGUUAAAGGUAUUUGAAGUCAAUAAAAAAUGUGAAGGGUUUGAACCAAAGCAACUAGAGCACUUGACCAAGCUAAGGGAGCUUGGCAUCUACAACCUUGAGAAGAUAGAUACAACAGAAGAAGCAGCUCAAGCAAAACUGAUGGAGAAAAAUUACUUGAGGAGGUUAACAUUGGACUGGGAUAGUAAGCGAUCUAGUAUUGAUCCUGGUGUGGAAGCAGCGGUUCUUGAGAGCCUUCAUCCACAUGGAGAUCUUCAGGUGUUGUGCAUUAGAGGGCACGGAGGUCCUUCUUGUCCAUCAUGGCUGGGUGAUGAGUUCGCUGCUGAAGGUCUACAAGCUCUUUAUCUGUAUGGUGUUUCUUGGGAAGUUUUUCCUUCUUUAGGGAAGGCGUGGGAUCUUCGUGAAUUAAGGUUUGAGCAUAUUGCCAGGCCGAAGGAGUUUACUAUAGAGAAAAGCUUUUGCAUGCUAAUAAAGUUUGAACUCAUUGGCCUAGGAAGUUUUGAAAAAUGGAGUUGCCAACGGAUGCUCAUACGUUCCCUCUCUUGCAAGUGCUGA